UGAAUUUUAUCAAAAUCUACAUUAUAUAACAGUGUUUACGGAUGCGAGAUACAAUAUUUGCUGUUUAACAAUCAACUGAGCAAGCAGGUACCAAACAAACAGCUGCACCGUAAGUGGUCUUCGAAAAGCAGCAUUCCACGGAUAGAAGCAAAUAUGUCUUCCCUGAGAAUAUAAUGCCAGGUGAUUUAUGACCACUCACCGUCGCAAUACUGUCACCAGCAUUGAACUUCAAAGCAUGGAGACAUGAAACAUUAACCAAACCAAGGUGAAUAUUAAACGACACAUUAAAAUAGCAAUAUUAACAGUCAGCUAAAACAGGCCACAGCAUCUGCUGCACUGUUGUAGUUAGGGGGCAUGACACUUCUUCCAACAGACGGCAUGAUAGUAGUACACUUAAUUUACAGGGGAAGAACAACCAACUGAGUUUUGCAAGAACACUACUGUGAUCUUGAGUGUUGAUCAAGACGAGCAGCAUCCGUUUUGCUGGGCAACAGGCUGACCCCGCAUUUGCACGGUGGCAGGCUUGCUGGCAU
RNAcentral lists this long non-coding RNA (533 nucleotides) under Triticum aestivum (bread wheat). RNAcentral describes it as "long non-coding RNA (TAES_LNC025648)". The record is from RNAcentral. Lineage: Eukaryota; Viridiplantae; Streptophyta; Magnoliopsida; Poales; Poaceae.